RNAcentral lists this ribosomal RNA (383 nucleotides) under Methanobacteriota archaeon. RNAcentral's name for it is "Euryarchaeota archaeon partial 16S ribosomal RNA". The stretch from base 87 to 330 matches the Rfam family "Group I catalytic intron". From Rfam's summary of the family: Group I catalytic introns are large self-splicing ribozymes. They catalyse their own excision from mRNA, tRNA and rRNA precursors in a wide range of organisms. Lineage: Archaea; Methanobacteriati; Methanobacteriota. The record is from RNAcentral.
GCACACACCGCCCGUCAAGCCACCCGAGUUGAGCCUGGGUGAUGGUGCCGUUCUUGCGGCGCUAGAACCUAGGUUCAGCAAGGAGGGCUAAGUCGUAAACAUGUGUUGCGACUCCGGAUCCGUGAGGAACCGGAACAAACCUGGCUAUAUGCGGGGAACUCCGAGGAUCCUGCGAUACAUGCGCGCUUCGCGCGUAUGUAAAAAUGCGCAGGUGCGGACAAUCCGCAGGGAAGGCCGAUCAGAAGAUCGGAACCCUCAGAGACUGCACGCCGGGCUCCGACGCACGUGCGUCGGAUGAUGAUACAGUCCACGCCCCAUGGCGACAUGGGGAGCACGUGAACAAGGUAUCUGUAGGGGAACCUGCAGAUGGAUCACCUCCUAAA